UUGAGGUGCUUGCUGUGUACUAGCUGCUGGUGCCUGCAGGCAGUCCUCGGUUGCCCAGGAAACACAGAUGGUGGAUGAAGGGCGCGCAUACAAAAGACCAUAAACCUGUGGCAGCAGCUGGAGACCGAGACCACUGAUUAAUUCAGGUCUGUGCAGCCCCGCUUUAGUCAAAGACGUCUCUGUUCUCUCUAAUACCUCCCAUCCAUUUUCUUUGUCCUGGGGCUUCCGUCUUCCACUUUAUCCUGUUUUCCCUGGACUGGUCUGCCGUCAGUGCGCAGCUGUUGUUGGCACUCCCACAUCUGCUUGUCUCGGAUCGGCAGCCAUGUAGACGACGCUCUGCCGCGGCUCGUGUUAGUGCGUAGCGUGUAGGUCCAGGGGGCGAGCAGCCUUUUACUGCGGGCUAAUCACUGCACACACACGGCGUGAAUUUGCAGGGUCGGCAGCAUGGAAGAAGAAGGAGAGGAAGAAGAAAAAGAAGAAAGAGAAGAAGUGAUGUUUUCGCACCGUCUGAUACUGCGGGACAGGUGCAUGUGAACCUGGAGAUCACUGGUUACCUUAUGGUUGGGGGAUUCAUCUACAGAGCUGCAGGCACGUCACCAGUCAGGAAACUGGGAGGAUCCAAAUGGGAACCAACAGCAGUACAGGUUAUGUGUACAGGCUGGAUUAUAUUUAUCACAAAUCAUGACGGAGGGUAGUUUUUUAAUAGUACACAACAUCAAAUAGAUAAUUUAGCAGUAUUACUCAGUCAGUUAGAUAACAUGUCUUUUAGCAGUGGGUGUAUUUCAAUGUAAUUUGUGUGAGACUAAAUAAAAACAGCAAGGGGAAACAAUGAAACGAAAGCACAAGUAAUCCCUGGUGUAUCUUUGGAGGACAGUUGGGUUGCGUCCCACUUUUCUGCUGCUUUGUCUUGUGUGUUCCUCUCCAGUUACACUGAUGAACAAAGCAGAACCGGGGCUCGCGCUGGACCUCACGAGCUGCACGGCUCCACCGCCCUCCGCUGUGCUGCCUCACAGACUGGUACAGGAGCUGUCGAGCUGUCGUGUCCUUUCACCUGCAGUGAUCGAUGCAUGCUGCCACCACUGCCGUCCUGUACCUUCAGAAGGAGAGGAUCCAUGUCCAAGUGUUCCCCCACCAGGAGAUGACUUCUGCUGCCUCUGUGUAUCAGUGAAAAGGGCUUUGAAGAGUUCAAAAUGCCACCACCGCUUUGUAGUCAGUGUCAGCAUGAUCAGAUUUAACAGGAAGGUAUUUCACGGGUGGUGUUCUGAGUCCAAAAUAAUCUGCUGCAGUGUUCUCUCCUGUUUCUCUCAAAUGUGCGUAAUUUCUGAGCUGUAACACUGAUAUAGCCUCAUCCACCCCCACUCUCAUGUUUUUUUUUUUUUGGUUUUUUUUUGGGGCUGAUCACAAACACAGACACUGCAGCCAUCAAACAACCCGCUCAUGCUUGUUUUCUUCAGCCGCCUUGUGCAGUGACCUCCUCGCUCCAUUACCUUGGCCACUCUAACACUGCGGCCACUUCUCCCCACAUAAGACACUUUAAAUGCAUCAUAAGUGGUGUUUUAACAUGUGUUAACUUCUCAGCAAAGCGAGUCUGUAUCCAUGCCAGAUCCAGAACUGGAAAGCUUUAAUGUUUCAAGCCUGUAAUGUUUUUAAAAAAAAAAUCUGCUUCAGUGUGUGACUAGUUUUCUCACAUUAUGACAAUGUGUAAUUCUCACAGUAUGUUCUUUGUUUGUCUUGAAACAUCUUAAUUUGGGUGUGAAACCAGCUACUUUUUACAGUACACUCUGUGUAUUUUUACUGUAGCGUGUGGGCGUGUGUGUGUCUGCGUGAGUGCAUGUGUUUGUGUGCAUGUGCUCUAUUUGUGUGCGUGUUUUUUCUUGUACGUGUGCAUGUGUCCGUCUGAUAAAACACAUUUGUAAUGGGCCUGAAGCUACUAGCUGCUUUUCAGUGGUUUUCUCAUUGCUGCACAGAUUUGACAAAAAAAAAAUGCCUGAGUCUCUUCUUUCAGCACACUGGAUGUACCAGACAAAGGAUAAAAACCUUAUUUACAAAUGAUUCUUAGCAUUUGUUACGAGCCUCAUUGAAGUACCAGUUAGGUGGGGGUUCUUGUGAUUUAGAUAAUCACAAGAAUGUCGCUGGAAAUUAAUGGUGUGUAGUUUUCUAAAUGGUGCCUGCUGGCGUUAAUUAAACUGUCCUGAUGCCUACAGCCCCAUCAUCUGAUACUUCAGCAAAUUACAGCAAAUGCUAAUAAUUAUGUGCAAAUAGCUUUUUACCCAGGUCUGGAUUCUACUAACUGUAUCUCACUAAUAUCUAACAAUACUAAUGUCUGCUAACAGUCGGAUGAUUACUAACCCGUACUCUGAAUGCUGAUGGCUGGCCUUGUUCUUUCUAACCCACUGACUAACCCUCUGCUUUAUGCCCGCAGUCCGACGCACACACACUCCUCUCUCAUGAUCCUGCAAUCCUUCUUCAAGAAAUCACAGACUAAGAUGAAUUAUUAAAGGCGAAAAUCAAUGAAAGCAGAUAAAGUGAGCAAGUCAAGAAGGGUUUCAGGACUUGGGAAGGGAAAUGUUAUUAACCACUAGAUGAAACGAUGAGCAGAAAGAGCUGCUGAUAUCAAACUGGGUUGACCACAUACUUCAGAAGAAGGCUUGCAAAACCAAUUAUGAUCUGAUCCUAAAUAUUAUCAAAGCACAGUGUUGCACUUCACAGGCUAAAUUCACAUCUUCAGAGGCCGUCUUUCUGUCUCUACCUGUGUGCUGUGUGGUCAACCCUUGCAGGUGAGUGCCUGGCUUGUUGUCACCACAGGCCACACAAACCUCAAUUCCACUACUAACUUAUUUUGGUGUUGAUACUAACAGUGGUGAGGCUGUAAAGGCCCACCUGUUGCUCUUACUAACAUCUGUGUUCUUUCUGACUGAAACAUCCUGAUGUCUGUAAUCAAAUUAUUCCGUCUCUUUCUUAGUCUUUAAUUAAAUCAGAGCAUGCCUUGUGGUACUAGUGAUGUUUAUAAAAUUACAUUACAUGGAAGCUUUUAUCCAAAGCAUCUUCUAGUGCCACGAGUGUAUGCUUUUUAGCAAUCGGAACUAAGCACUAACCGUGUCAUUGACAUGUUUGAUAGAAAUCCUGAUAAGCAAGCUAGACAAGUUUUGUUCGCUCAACAAGCUACUAACAUCGCCUAAAGUUGAAUUAACAGGUACUAACCAAAGAGCUUUUAUUAGCUCUCUGCAAACUAACAAACUAACCUACUAAUAAACUAAUAAUCUAACAAAAACUAACUAAAAUCACUAACUUUGUGCUGAGUGAAGCACCCUGAUUUGGAGGAGUGGCAUCACUUAUUAAGUACUAACAGAAUUCUUAAGAGUCACUGAUUGAAUGUGCCUGUUCAUGUGUGUGUGUAAGAGAGAGAAAGAGCACAGGAGAUUGUGAGUGUGUGUGUUUGUUCUUCAAACAAUAAUUUAAAGGAGUACUUCACCCCCUAAAGGAUCAUUUGUAUAUCAAUUACUCACCCCAUGUUAGGUUGAAUUUGUGAAGGAAACUUUGUUUUUCUUACAUGCCUCCAUGUAGAACAAAGAGUCCAAUAAUAGAGAAUAAUCUUGAUGAAUUGAAGUCAUAGGGGGCCACGCUUGCCCAGGUGCACUACUCUUUUGUGUGUGGGACUGUUUUAAAUGUUUUGGCUAAAAUGCAUAUGUUUGGGAAGUUCUGAGUAUAUGACUCGAUAAAUUGGAUCAUACUGCCUAAGUUGUGUAAGAGUCAGUUGACGGAUGAUUUGAUAUAGUUUGCUGUUGUUAAAUGCCGGCCCCUUUAACUCCAAUUUAUUGAGAAUUUCUCAGUUUUUGGAUUCUUCGUUCACCUUGGAGCCAUGCAAGAAAAACAAAUUUUUCUUCAUGAAUUUAACAAAACACAGGAUGAGUAAUUGAUUUACAAAUGAUCACUUAGGGGAUGAAGUGCUCCUUUAACAUACCAAUGGAGAUUAUGUUCUUUAGAACAGUGUUAGCCAAAUGUAUCCACAAUUGCUCUUCCAUUGGAGCACCAGGAUACUUAUACAACACACCUUUAGCUUCUAAAACAAUACACUGUGUGGAAGUAUCAUGCAUGGAAAGAAAAAUAAAUUCAGUGUCCAUAACUAUUUUUGUAAUUUAUUGCCAAUUGACCAGCUGUCUUUAUGACAUACUUUUGUAAUAAAUGUUUUUCACAUAUCAAACAAACAAA
Epinephelus moara (kelp grouper) is the source of this 4209-nucleotide long non-coding RNA. RefSeq lists it as uncharacterized. The transcript is spliced from 3 exons. The record is from RefSeq and is a predicted model, not a curated record. Lineage: Eukaryota; Metazoa; Chordata; Actinopteri; Perciformes; Serranidae.